ACGUAGUUCCCCGAGAGGUCCUCAGAGUGUAUAAAAGGACCAGUGAUGUAUCUGGAGCUCAAUCAAGAGGGUGAGGUUUACAAAUUGUAAUUUUCCUGCAAACCAAUCAAUGACUACUUCUUGGACAUCCAUAUCGAUAUCCUAAAUGUAUUAUAGACAAAAUUACCCUAUAUUAUUAUCACUACUUUUCGGUAAUGCUGAUAAUGAUAAAUAUCACGAUUAUAAUUUGUAUAUUAUUUUAUUAUCUAUAGGUAAUAUUUAUGACUUUUUUAAUCACAGCUAGAAAAUUUUAGGAAAGUGACAAUCAAUCCAUCUCACCUCUUAAAAUACGUCACUAGAGGGGUCCUGUCAGGGGAAGGAGGAGUU
Cinara cedri is the source of this 366-nucleotide non-coding RNA. The record is from the annotation of a GenBank genome assembly. Lineage: Eukaryota; Metazoa; Arthropoda; Insecta; Hemiptera; Aphididae.